UUCUUAAAUUUCAAAAAAAAAAUAACGAAUUAAAAUGAAGACCUCAAAUUGCGUCUUUCUUCUUUACUGCAUCGUUCUUUUAGGUUCAAUGACAAUUAUACGUGGACAAGACGAAGUUGAUGAAGAAAAAGCUGCACGAUGCGAAGCAAUUGGCUUGCAAUCUGGAAAUGCCUUGCAGAAAAUUAUUGAUGAACUUAGUACUUGCAGUGGUGGAAAUUGCAAACAACCUGUAGUUGACGCAGGCAGAGUAGAAACAGAAGUUUCUUCAACAGAGUGUAUAAUUUCCUUAAGAAUUGCAAUCAAAUAUGGAAAAUGAUAUUUGUUAAGCCGUAAUCUUUAAUGAUGUUUAAAGAGAAUAAAAGAAACAUUGUUAACCCAUA
Molecule: long non-coding RNA, 380 nt
Organism: Drosophila willistoni
Lineage: Eukaryota; Metazoa; Arthropoda; Insecta; Diptera; Drosophilidae
Exons: 2
Source: RefSeq, a predicted model, not a curated record